Molecule: ribosomal RNA, 253 nt
Filed under: uncultured bacterium
Lineage: Bacteria
Description: partial 16S ribosomal RNA
Rfam family: Bacterial small subunit ribosomal RNA
Source: RNAcentral
GACAGAGGUGCCAAGCGUUAGGCGGAAUCACUGGGCUUAAAGCGUGUGUAGGCGGAUCGUUAAGUACCUUGUGAAAUCCCACGGCUCACCCGUGGAACUGCUGGGUAUACUGCGAGUCUUGAGCCACUUAGGGGCUGUCGGAACAGGCGGUGGAGCGGUGAAAUGCGUAGAUAUCGCCUGGAACGCCAAAGGUGAAAACAGACAGCUGGGAGUGUGCUGACGCUGAGACACGAAAGCCAGGGGAGCGAACGGG